CCGAUCUUGAGCUCAUUGUAUGUUUUAAACAAGUUUUAAGUUGAUCUAUGGGGUAGAAAUGCAUGUUUAGGUUAGUUGAGCUUUGUUAGAUUUUAUGUGAUUAUAUGGACAAUGUGUGUUGGAUAUGCAUGUUUGAUGUGUUGUAGUUGGGGUUUAAGUUAGUUUGAAGCCCCUAGGAGCUUAUGUAUGUGUUUAUGUAUGUUUUGGUUGAGUUGUAUGCUUGAUUGGAAGGUUUGGGAGG
This 241-nucleotide long non-coding RNA is filed under the name Manihot esculenta (cassava). RNAcentral describes it as "long non-coding RNA (MESC_LNC012593)". The record is from RNAcentral. Lineage: Eukaryota; Viridiplantae; Streptophyta; Magnoliopsida; Malpighiales; Euphorbiaceae.